AGCGAACGCUGGCGGCAGGCCUAACACAUGCAAGUCGAACGGAGUCUUCGGACUUAGUGGCGGACGGGUGAGUAACACGUGGGAACGUGCCUUUAGGUUCGGAAUAACUCAGGGAAACUUGUGCUAAUACCGAAUGUGCCCUUCGGGGGAAAGAUUUAUCGCCUUUAGAGCGGCCCGCGUCUGAUUAGCUAGUUGGUGAGGUAAAGGCUCACCAAGGCGACGAUCAGUAGCUGGUCUGAGAGGAUGAUCAGCCACAUUGGGACUGAGACACGGCCCAAACUCCUACGGGAGGCAGCAGUGGGGAAUCUUGCGCAAUGGGCGAAAGCCUGACGCAGCCAAGCCGCGUGAAUGAUGAAGGUCUUAGGAUUGUAAAAUUCUUUCACCGGGGACGAUAAUGACGGUACCCGGAGAAGAAGCCCCGGCUAACUUCGUGCCAGCCGCCGCGGUAA
RNAcentral lists this ribosomal RNA (449 nucleotides) under uncultured bacterium. RNAcentral describes it as "partial 16S ribosomal RNA". It matches the Rfam family "Bacterial small subunit ribosomal RNA", at positions 29 to 523 of the family's 1533-position model. The record is from RNAcentral.